CAGCCGCCACGGUAAUACGAAGGGUGCAAGCGUUAAUCGGAAUUACUGGGCGUAAAGCGUGCGUAGGCGGUGAGUUAAGUCUGCUGUGAAAUCCCCGGGCUCAACCUGGGAAUGGCAGUGGAUACUGGCUCGCUAGAGUGUGUCAGAGGAUGGUGGAAUUCCCGGUGUAGCGGUGAAAUACGUAGAGAUCGGGAGGAACAUCAGUGGCGAAGGCGGCCAUCUGGGACAACACUGACGCUGAGGCACGAAAGCGUGGGGAGCAAACAGGAUUAGAUACCCCCGUAGUCCCUGUCUCUUAUAA
Molecule: ribosomal RNA, 301 nt
Filed under: uncultured bacterium
Lineage: Bacteria
Description: partial 16S ribosomal RNA
Rfam family: Bacterial small subunit ribosomal RNA
Source: RNAcentral